CAAACCGUUUAGGUUCCAGAACCGUUUUAGUACCCCAAGGUACCGAGCGAAAUUUUGAAAAGUUCAUUGCACGAAAAGGCCGACUUGUCGGGGGUUGAUCCGGAAAACCGCCCUUUCAGACGUUCUUUGCGUCAAGGGCUUUUGGGCCUGCCUUUGAAGUGUCGUGGAAGGGAGAGGGUCGACAUAUGCAACUCGAGUGCACUCGAAAUUAGCUGGGGCGGUCAUAAACGCUAUAAAAGCGCAUUUCGCACCCGUUUCUUCACAGUCUUA
Molecule: long non-coding RNA, 270 nt
Organism: Anthonomus grandis grandis
Lineage: Eukaryota; Metazoa; Arthropoda; Insecta; Coleoptera; Curculionidae
Exons: 3
Source: RefSeq, a predicted model, not a curated record